AACGAACGCUGGCGGCGUGGAUAAGACAUGCAAGUCGAGCGCUGGUUGCAGGGUAGCAAUAUUCUGCAAUCGGAGCGGCGCAAGGGUGCGUAACACGUGGGCAAUCUGCCGUGAAGUUUGGGAUAAUUCCGCGAAAGCGGGACUAAUACCGGAUGUGGCAACUGGGAGGCAUCUUCUGGUUGCUAAAGUUGGGGACCGCAAGGCCUGACGCUUCACGAUGAACCCGCGGCCUAUCAGCUAGUUGGUGAGGUAACGGCUCACCAAGGCAAAGACGGGUAGCUGGUCUGAGAGGACGACCAGCCACACUGGAACUGAGACACGGUCCAGACACCUACGGGUGGCAGCAGUCGAGAAUUUUUCACAAUGGGCGCAAGCCUGAUGGAGCGACGCCGCGUGGGGGAUGAAUGGCUUCGGCCCGUAAACCCCUGUCAUUCGCGAUCAAACGUUGGUAUUUAAAGAUGCCAGCCUGAUAGUAGCGGAAGAGGAAGGGACGGC
RNAcentral lists this ribosomal RNA (495 nucleotides) under uncultured bacterium. RNAcentral describes it as "bacterial SSU rRNA". It matches the Rfam family "Bacterial small subunit ribosomal RNA", at positions 29 to 497 of the family's 1533-position model. The record is from RNAcentral.